RNAcentral lists this transfer RNA (86 nucleotides) under Spirochaetota bacterium. Its description in RNAcentral is "Spirochaetes bacterium (wastewater metagenome) tRNA-Ser". It matches the Rfam family "tRNA". Rfam says of the family: Transfer RNA (tRNA) molecules are approximately 80 nucleotides in length. Lineage: Bacteria; Pseudomonadati; Spirochaetota. The record is from RNAcentral.
GGAGAGAUGCCCGAGAGGCCGAAGGGAACGGUUUGCUAAAUCGUGGUACCGUUUCGGUACCGAGGGUUCGAAUCCCUCUCUCUCCG